AUUGAACGCUGGCGGCAGGCCUAACACAUGCAAGUCGAGCGGAUGAAGGGAGCUUGCUCCUGGAUUCAGCGGCGGACGGGUGAGUAAUGCCUAGGAAUCUGCCUGGUAGUGGGGGAUAACGUCCGGAAACGGGCGCUAAUACCGCAUACGUCCUGAGGGAGAAAGUGGGGGAUCUUCUGACCUCACGCUCUCAGAUGAGCCUAGGUCGGAUUAUCUAGUUGGUGGGGUAAAGGCCUACCAAGGCGACGAUCCGUAACUGGUCUGAGAGGAUGAUCAGUCACACUGGAACUGAGACACGGUCCAGACUCCUACGGGAGGCAGAAGUGGGGAAUAUUGGACAAUGGGCGAAAGCCUGAUCCAGCCAUGCCGCGUGUGUGAAGAAGGUCUUCGGAUUGUAAAGCACUUUAAGUUGGGAGGAAGGGCAGUAAGUUAAUAACUUGCUGUUUUGACGUUACCAACAGAAUAAGCACCGGCUAACUUCGUG
Molecule: ribosomal RNA, 484 nt
Filed under: uncultured bacterium
Lineage: Bacteria
Description: partial 16S ribosomal RNA
Rfam family: Bacterial small subunit ribosomal RNA
Source: RNAcentral